Molecule: transfer RNA, 69 nt
Filed under: Moringua javanica (Java spaghetti eel)
Lineage: Eukaryota; Metazoa; Chordata; Actinopteri; Anguilliformes; Moringuidae
Description: tRNA-Phe
Rfam family: tRNA
About the family: Transfer RNA (tRNA) molecules are approximately 80 nucleotides in length.
Source: RNAcentral
GUUAACGUAGCUUAAAUAAAAGCUUGGCACUGAAGAUGCCAAGAUGGGGCCUCAUAACCCCCGAUAACA